UCCUCCCUCUUUCUUCGUGCUUAACACAUGCAAGUCGAACGGAAAGGCCCUGCUUUUGUGGGGUGCUCGAGUGGCGAACGGGUGAGUAACACGUGAGUAACCUGCCCUUGACUUUGGGAUAACUUCAGGAAACUGGGGCUAAUACCGGAUAGGAGCUCCUGCUGCAUGGUGGGGGUUGGAAAGUUUCGGCGGUUGGGGAUGGACUCGCGGCUUAUCAGCUUGUUGGCGGGGUAGUGGCUUACCAAGGCUUUGACGGGUAGCCGGCCUGAGAGGGUGACCGGCCACAUUGGGACUGAGAUACGGCCCAGACUCCUACGGGAGGCAGCAGUGGGGAAUGUUGCACAAUGGGCGGAAGCCUGAUGCAGCAACGCCGCGUGCGGGAUGACGGCCUUCGGGUUGUAAACCGCUUUCGCCUGUGACGAAGCGUGAGUGACGGUAAUGGGUAAAGAAGCACCGGCUAACUACGUG
This 468-nucleotide ribosomal RNA is filed under the name uncultured bacterium. Its description in RNAcentral is "partial 16S ribosomal RNA". It matches the Rfam family "Bacterial small subunit ribosomal RNA", at positions 36 to 507 of the family's 1533-position model. The record is from RNAcentral.